RNAcentral lists this ribosomal RNA (382 nucleotides) under uncultured bacterium. RNAcentral's name for it is "partial 16S ribosomal RNA". It matches the Rfam family "Bacterial small subunit ribosomal RNA", at positions 328 to 727 of the family's 1533-position model. The record is from RNAcentral.
UUACCAGACUCCUACGGGAGGCAGCAGUGGGGAAUAUUGCACAAUGGGGGGAACCCUGAUGCAGCGACGCCGCGUGGGUGAAGAAGCGCCUCGGCGCGUAAAGCCCUGUCAGCAGGGAAGAAAAUGACGGUACCUGAAGAAGAAGCCCCGGCUAACUACGUGCCAGCAGCCGCGGUAAUACGUAGGGGGCAAGCGUUGUCCGGAAUCAUUGGGCGUAAAGAGUUCGUAGGUGGCACGUUAAGUCUGGUGUUAAAUGCAGAGGCUCAACCUCUGUUCGGCUCUGGAUACUGGCGAGCUUGAAUGCGGUAGAGGUAAAGGGAAUUCCUGGUGUAGCGGUGAAAUGCGUAGAUAUCAGGAGGAACAUCGGUGGCGUAAGCGCUUU